Molecule: ribosomal RNA, 469 nt
Filed under: uncultured bacterium
Lineage: Bacteria
Description: partial 16S ribosomal RNA
Rfam family: Bacterial small subunit ribosomal RNA
Source: RNAcentral
GACGAACGCUGGCGGCGUGCUUAACACAUGCAAGUCGAACGGAAAGGCCCUGCUUGCAGGGUGCUCGAGCGGCGAACGGGUGAGUAACACGUGGGUGAUCUGCCCCUUAUUUUGGGAUAAGCCUGGGAAACUGGGUCUAAUACUGGAUAGGACCAUGCUGUAGGUGGUGUGGUGGAAAGAUUAGUUUCGGUAAGGGAUGAGCUCGCGGCCUAUCAGCUUGUUGGUGGGGUAAUGGCCUACCAAGGCGUCGACGGGUAGCCGGCCUGAGAGGGUGGACGGCCACAUUGGGACUGAGAUACGGCCCAGACUCCUACGGGAGGCAGCAGUGGGGAAUAUUGCACAAUGGGCGCAAGCCUGAUGCAGCGACGCCGCGUGGGGGAUGACGGCCUUCGGGUUGUAAACUCCUUUCAGCCAUGACGAAGCCCUUGUGGUGACGGUAGUGGUAGAAGAAGCACCGGCUAACUACGUG